AGAAAAGCAACUAAAAGGAGCCUGGCUAAGGCUGGUCUGCCAGUAUGUCACUCCUACUUUGUUCAUGCUUCACACAAGUGUCAAUGAGUAAGUGAAGUACAUGCAGUGGAAAAUCAGAUCUGAUUUUUUUUUUCUUUUUUGUUUAGAUGUUAGAAAACAUGAAUUUAAAUUCAGAACAUCUGCCUUCUAUGACCAUAUUCCUGCCCCCUUUUUACUUGCUUUUUACAAAUAUUCAUGUGCAUGUAUUAUUGUUUCCAAGGAUGUAUGGAGAAUAACAGCUCUACAUAUGAAGACAUGUAUUUGCAUGAUAUACGUGGAGGAUACAGCUGUGCAGGCUUAUGAAAUAAGAGCAGACAUUUCCUUUCCCCAGCUCAUGGAUCUUCCCUCCUCAAACUAAACAUUUGUAGUGUCUGGGAAAGAAGGAAUCUGUCCUGAACAACAAUAACAAUAACAAAAUUAUUUCUUCCCACUGGUGUAAUAAUCCAGUUCACAAGCUUUGAGACAUAGCCUGUGCCUUGAAGAUUUUGCCAUCCAUUUGUGUUGAAUCACUGGCUUAAGACCAAGGCUUAAGAAGAAGUGCAACCAUAUCGAUAAUUUACUCGAAGUAAUGUGUGUACUUAUUUUUAGCUAAUGGAAUAUUACUAUUAUAUUAAUUAAAGUUCACAUAAUAUUGUGUUACACAUAAGCUCUUAAAGGUUUUCUCAGUAUAAAACCAAUAUGCCAUUCUGACUAUUAAUUGUCUUCAUAUUCCAUUCAUAUUGGCUCUGUACAUCACUUCUAGCAUUGUCUAAUGAAACCAUGUCUUAAACCUAUAUAGAAGUGGUAUUUGCCAUCAUCACACACUGCACACAACUCAUAAUAUCAAAAUACUUUUAUAAAGUAAAUUUAAACAAACAAACAAACAAUGUUUGGCAUAAUCCUAUUAAACCAGACUUAAGAGCUACUCCUUUCAUGCAGAAUGCAUACUAAACAAAAGGACACAGAAAUGCAGCCUUAGCAAACGCAUCGCUAUGGCCGUUGGGUGUCACUGUGGAUCCAUACAGUUUUACACAAAAUACCUUCUUCGGCAGUACAAAUGUUUCUGGUCCUGUGAACAGCACGUGCCCUCUUAACUGAACAUUCCUACAGAGAAGACAGGAAAGGAGAGUGAGUGUCU
Oxyura jamaicensis (ruddy duck) is the source of this 1156-nucleotide long non-coding RNA. RefSeq lists it as uncharacterized. The record is from RefSeq and is a predicted model, not a curated record. NCBI's taxonomy places the organism in Eukaryota, Metazoa, Chordata, Aves, Anseriformes, Anatidae. The transcript is spliced from 3 exons.